CCAAACUUGGUCAUUUAGAGGAAGUAAAAGUCGUAACAAGGUUUCCGUAGGUGAACCUGCGGAAGGAUCAUUAUUGAAUAAACCUGGUCAAGCUGUUGCUGGUUCUUAGGGACAUGUGCACGCUCGACUAUCGUUUUUAACCCCCUGUGCACCUUGUGUAGAUCUGGAGUUUUAUUGAAACAUUUUGUUUCGUGUGGGGAAUUGCAUUAGCUUUCCCUGUUUCUCCGGUCUAUGUUUUUAUAUUAUACCCUUUUAAAUGUGUAUGAAUGUAUUUCUAGGCUUUUUUUGAAGCCUAUAAAAAUAUAUACAACUUUCAACAACGGAUCUCUUGGCUCUCGCAUCGAUGAAGAACGCAGC
RNAcentral lists this unclassified non-coding RNA (357 nucleotides) under uncultured fungus. Its description in RNAcentral is "partial contains small subunit ribosomal RNA, internal transcribed spacer 1, and 5.8S ribosomal RNA". The stretch from base 1 to 73 matches the Rfam family "Eukaryotic small subunit ribosomal RNA", at positions 1759 to 1831 of the family's 1831-position model. Lineage: Eukaryota; Fungi. The record is from RNAcentral.